This 91-nucleotide transfer RNA is filed under the name Oligoflexia bacterium. RNAcentral describes it as "tRNA-Leu". It matches the Rfam family "tRNA". Rfam says of the family: Transfer RNA (tRNA) molecules are approximately 80 nucleotides in length. Their secondary structure includes four short double-helical elements and three loops (D, anti-codon, and T loops). Further hydrogen bonds mediate the characteristic L-shaped molecular structure. tRNAs have two regions of fundamental functional importance: the anti-codon, which is responsible for specific mRNA codon recognition, and the 3' end, to which the tRNAs corresponding amino acid is attached (by aminoacyl-tRNA synthetases). tRNAs cope with the degeneracy of the genetic code in two manners: having more than one tRNA (with a specific anti-codon) for a particular amino acid; and 'wobble' base-pairing, i.e. permitting non-standard base-pairing at the 3rd anti-codon position. The record is from RNAcentral. Lineage: Bacteria; Pseudomonadati; Bdellovibrionota; Oligoflexia.
GCUCGCGUGGUGAAAUGGUAGACACAGCAGACUUAAAAUCUGCAGCUUGGGUUAAACCGGCGUGCCAGUUCGAGUCUGGCCGCGAGCACCA